RNAcentral lists this ribosomal RNA (430 nucleotides) under uncultured bacterium. Its description in RNAcentral is "partial 16S ribosomal RNA". It matches the Rfam family "Bacterial small subunit ribosomal RNA", at positions 354 to 796 of the family's 1533-position model. The record is from RNAcentral.
GUGGGGAAUAUUGCACAAUGGGCGCAAGCCUGAUGCAGCAACGCCGCGUGAGGGACGACGGCCUUCGGGUUGUAAACCUCUUUUAGCAGGGAAGAAGCGAAAGUGACGGUACCUGCAGAAAAAGCACCGGCUAACUACGUGCCAGCAGCCGCGGUAAUACGUAGGGUGCAAGCGUUGUCCGGAAUUAUUGGGCGUAAAGAGCUCGUAGGCGGUUUGUCGCGUCUGCUGUGAAAACCCGAGGCUCAACCUCGGGCCUGCAGUGGGUACGGGCAGACUAGAGUGCGGUAGGGGAGAUUGGAAUUCCUGGUGUAGCGGUGGAAUGCGCAGAUAUCAGGAGGAACACCGAUGGCGAAGGCAGAUCUCUGGGCCGUAACUGACGCUGAGGAGCGAAAGCAUGGGGAGCGAACAGGAUUAGAAACCCUUGUAGUCC